RNAcentral lists this ribosomal RNA (316 nucleotides) under uncultured Bacillota bacterium. RNAcentral describes it as "bacterial SSU rRNA". It matches the Rfam family "Bacterial small subunit ribosomal RNA", at positions 28 to 351 of the family's 1533-position model. The record is from RNAcentral. Lineage: Bacteria; Bacillati; Bacillota.
GACGAACGCUGGCGGCGUGCCUAACACAUGCAAGUCGAGCGAGAAACUUCGGUUUCUAGCGGCGGACGGGUGAGUAACACGUGGGUAACCUGCCUCAUAGAGGGGGAUAGCCUCCCGAAAGGGAGAUUAAUACCGCAUAAGAAGUAGCUUUCGCAUGAAAGCAGCUUUAAAGGAGAAAUCCACUAUGAGAUGGACCCGCGGCGCAUUAGCUAGUUGGUGAGGUAACGGCUCACCAAGGCGACGAUGCGUAGCCGGCCUGAGAGGGCGAACGGCCACAUUGGAACUGAGAGACGGUCCAGACUCCUACGGGAGGCAG